Molecule: long non-coding RNA, 849 nt
Organism: Micropterus dolomieu (smallmouth bass)
Lineage: Eukaryota; Metazoa; Chordata; Actinopteri; Centrarchiformes; Centrarchidae
Exons: 2
Source: RefSeq, a predicted model, not a curated record
CCCCCGACCUGCUAGCGCCUCUAGCCCCCGGCCUGUCCCUCGGCCUGCUAGCCCCCGGCCUGGCCUUGAUCCCCAACCUGCUGGCGCCUCCAGCCUGUCACCCCCGAUCCCCUGCCCCUUAGGGCCGCUAGCCCCCAUGCCUUGUUGGCGGAUCAACCGGCUUCAGCCCCGCCGGUGGGCCGCCCGACCCCUGCUCCUCACACCAAAGCUCCCUGCCCGGCUCCCCGGCCUCUGGAGAGGUCGCCACGCCCGGCUCCCCGGCCCUGUCCUCGGGCCGCCCCCCUGAACUCCCUGGCUUUCCUGGGCCGCCCGAACCCCCUGGUCCCUCUGGCACCCCAUCUGUACUCCCUGGUUCCCCAGCUCUACCCUCUGGCACCCAGUCUAGCCCUAGGUCUUCAGUUCAGCCCUGCCCAUUCACCUAACCCUUCCCAGUCCUGAAGCCCUCCCUGAAUUCCCUGUUUUGUUUUGGACCCUGGACCCCCACCAGCCGGACCCCAGUGCGACUUCCUCCCCCCGACGUUCGUCUGCCAAGCCCCGCCUCGUCCAGUGGGAAGGCCGCCGGGAGGCGUCUGUUGAGGAGGGGGCCCUGUUGUGGUGGCAGCCCGGCUGACGGUUCACUCAUCCUCCGUUCAGUCGGCUGGGCUCAUCCACCGGUCCUCUCCUCCUCGGACUUCCCCCACGGCAUCCUCCCUGUUCUCCCUCGCCUCCUCGCUUCCUCGGCCCCAGUGUUCCCCGGCUCCCUGGUCCCAGUCUCCCCAGUUGCCCGUGCCUGUUUCCCCGUCAUCCACCUCUCCCUCUACUCCAGUCCCUCUACCCCUUUUUCCCUCAAUAAACCUCCUUCCCUCCGAA